This 396-nucleotide long non-coding RNA is filed under the name Triticum aestivum (bread wheat). Its description in RNAcentral is "long non-coding RNA (TAES_LNC027742)". Lineage: Eukaryota; Viridiplantae; Streptophyta; Magnoliopsida; Poales; Poaceae. The record is from RNAcentral.
GAAAGGAGACCUGCCAUUCAGCUUCCAUAGCCAUGCUAGCAGGAGGAUGAGAAUGAAUUGUGGUUACCUUUCCUUUCUGGAGCGGGGUGGUAUCAUAAUUUACUAGUAGUACCUAAAACCCAUAAGGAUCCAAUGUCAGUGUUUAUAUGGUCAAGCAAGUGAACUUGUGUUGUCGUUACUAGUGAAUUUGUUUGUCGGUGGUAUCAUAAUUUCUACUAGUAGUACCUAAAACCCGUAAGGAUCCUUUACCAGCUGGUGGAGUACUGUUUAUAGGUAUAUGAGUUUGUCAGAAACUUUGGACAAAUGGAACAAAAGAAAAUUAGCAAUAUGUUGAUGUGUACUCGAUAUGUGUGGUACAUUUCUAAUGGGUUCUUCGCCUUUGCUCUCUUCUGAAGA